CACACUAAGAAGAAAACAAGUUGAAAAGAUAUUACACACUUUUCCGAUCAAACAAGUAAAGAGAGAGUUUUAGAAUAAAAUGUUUGAUGUUUUGCAAAUGAGAGAUACAUGGAGUUUAUAUAGAGAAGGGAGGACGAAGGAGAGGAGAGAAGACAAGAGAAAACAUGCAAGAGCAUGCACAAGUGUCUUGUAAAUUACACUCAUGCAAGCUCAUACAAGAGUCUUGGAAAUAACAACAAGUAAUAAAUGCAAAGUUUGAAGAGAAAAUGGAAAAUGGGCCAAGGCUUUGUGAGUGGGCCUUGGACCACGAAUUGGGCUGGUAAAGAGAGGCUUGAAAGUGUAACUUAGGCCUCAUUAAAAACCUUGUCAAGAAAACCCAUUGGGACAAAACUUGACAAGGGAAAAAGAGUGCAUAAGCAACACUUAACCCUUUACCGAACCACUUGAGCCGUGAUAACUAUUAAGGAGGAUGGAGCAACAUCUUCUUGAAUCUUGUUUAUCUCCUUGAGUAAUCCAUUGAUGGCUUGGUUGAACAUCUUGGCUCUUGAUCUUGUUAGAGGACCCACCGGGACGAUCAAUGCUUCCUCCAGUACAAGCUGUUCUUCGUGGCCGGUGGUUUGUGGCCGUGUGUUCUCGGCUUCAAGUAGCUCCUCGUCUUUGUGUGGUUCAAGUGAACUGGCCAUGAUCUCAUCAGAUAUACUUGGAAACGAAUAAGGAAACUACAUUUUACCUUCAUGUGGACGUGUCUCAAAACAGGAGAACCUUUACAGCCGCUAGAGAAUAUGUGGAGAAUAUUCACGCACAAUAAUAGUAAUCGGCUGAAGCGGAUUCAAUCCUAUUAUUACUUGCCUUUUUGGACCUGAUCGUUAUCAA
RNAcentral lists this long non-coding RNA (873 nucleotides) under Capsella rubella. Its description in RNAcentral is "long non-coding RNA (CRUB_LNC000894)". The record is from RNAcentral. Lineage: Eukaryota; Viridiplantae; Streptophyta; Magnoliopsida; Brassicales; Brassicaceae.